GAUCUGGCUCAGGAUGAACGCUGGCGGCGUGCUUAACACAUGCAAGUCGAACGAUUGAAGCUGGAGCUUGCUCCGGCCGAUUUAGUGGCGGACGGGUGAGUAACGCGUGGGUAACCUGCCUCAUACAGGGGGAUAGCAGUUGGAAACGACUGGUAAAACCGCAUAAGCGCACGGUGUCGCAUGACACAGUGUGAAAACACUCCGGUGGUAUGAGAUGGACCCGCGUCUGAUUAG
Molecule: ribosomal RNA, 234 nt
Filed under: uncultured bacterium
Lineage: Bacteria
Description: partial 16S ribosomal RNA
Rfam family: Bacterial small subunit ribosomal RNA
Source: RNAcentral